AUGGCGGAAUCCCGAAAAGCCAAAAGAGUAGGGA
Bergeyella zoohelcum ATCC 43767 is the source of this 34-nucleotide regulatory RNA element. It matches the Rfam family "DUF805b RNA". From Rfam's summary of the family: Bacteroidetes, Chlorobi (1 example), Proteobacteria. The record is from Rfam. NCBI's taxonomy places the organism in Bacteria, Pseudomonadati, Bacteroidota, Flavobacteriia, Flavobacteriales, Weeksellaceae.